RNAcentral lists this ribosomal RNA (429 nucleotides) under Chloroflexota bacterium. RNAcentral describes it as "Chloroflexi bacterium partial 16S ribosomal RNA". It matches the Rfam family "Bacterial small subunit ribosomal RNA", at positions 355 to 776 of the family's 1533-position model. The record is from RNAcentral. Lineage: Bacteria; Bacillati; Chloroflexota.
UAGGGAAUCUUCGGCAAUGGACGAAAGUCUGACCGAGCAACGCCGCGUGAGUGAAGAAGGUUUUCGGAUCGUAAAACUCUGUUGUUAGAGAAGAACAAGGACGUUAGUAACUGAACGUCCCCUGACGGUAUCUAACCAGAAAGCCACGGCUAACUACGUGCCAGCAGCCGCGGUAAUACGUAGGUGGCAAGCGUUGUCCGGCUUUAUUGGGCGUAAAGCGAGCGCAGGCGGUUUCUUAAGUCUGAUGUGAAAGCCCCCGGCUCAACCGGGGAGGGUCAUUGGAAACUGGGAGACUUGAGUGCAGAAGAGGAGAGUGGAAUUCCAUGUGUAGCGGUGAAAUGCGUAGAUAUAUGGGGGAACACCAGUGGCGAAGGCGGCUCUCUGGUCUGUAACUGACGCUGAGGCUCGAAAGCGUGGGGAGCAAACAGG